GACAGAGGUCCCGAGCGUUAGGCGGAAUCACUGGGCUUAAAGCGUGUGUAGGCGGAUGCCUAAGUACCUUGUGAAAUCCCACGGCUCACCCGUGGAACUGCUCGGUAUACUGGGUGUCUUGAGCCACUUAGGGGCUACCGGAACAAAUGGUGGAGCGGUGAAAUGCGUAGAUAUCAUUUGGAACGCCAAUGGUGAAAACAGGUAGCUGGGAGUGUGCUGACGCUGAGACACGAAAGCCAGGGGAGCGAACGGG
Molecule: ribosomal RNA, 253 nt
Filed under: uncultured bacterium
Lineage: Bacteria
Description: partial 16S ribosomal RNA
Rfam family: Bacterial small subunit ribosomal RNA
Source: RNAcentral